Molecule: long non-coding RNA, 2973 nt
Organism: Anas platyrhynchos (mallard)
Lineage: Eukaryota; Metazoa; Chordata; Aves; Anseriformes; Anatidae
Source: RefSeq, a predicted model, not a curated record
CCUCUACCCCCCCCCCCCCCCCCGCCCCGCCGCCCCAAACUCCUUCCUCAGGACCGUGGGAUGCUGGCGAGCCCUGGCGAGAGUUGCCGGUCUCCAUUUCCAAGCGGGGAGCCGCCGGGAGCGGCCCACUCUGUUCUCCAGCCUUAUUACAUGGGGUUUUUGUCUCUCCAAGUCAUUCCUCAGCAUCGCCUUGAAUGGCAUCUACUGCACAUAACUUUUUCAGCCCACAAGGCUGAAACACUUCCUGUGACUGAAAUGGCUCCAACAGAGCUACUUUCUAGAAGACAUUCUCCCUGAUUUCUUGUGGUGCCUGUAAGAUAUCUGGCAAUGUAGGGAUGAGGUGACCAAAUUUGAAGACAGUAUUCAAAGUGAGGAUGUGCCACUGAUUUAUAUAAUGGCAUUAUAAUAUUUUCUGUAUUAUUCUCUAAAACUCUUUUCUUCGUACAAACCCCAUAAGAUUCUUUUUAAUUCUUUGAACUAUAGUGCCUUUUAACAUCUGUAGUUUACUCUGAUCAGAUUUUGACAAAGGAAUAAAAGGCUCCAUUUUUCACAUAGAAUUUUAUUUAUUGUUUGAACUUUAGAGGAUAAAUUGGUUAACUUACAAUUUAAAAUUCUUGGCAAUGUAGACCAUUGGGCAAGGAUUUCAUUAUUAGUCCUUCUGUACUUUCUAGUAAGAUAGUGCAAGGCUGAAAGUUGGUGUACAAGGUCUUGGUUCAAAAGACUUGGCUUUCAUACUAUAAACACAGCCAAAGACUUAUUUGGAGCUGCGAGAUUGCCCAAAGAUGUUAGACAUGUUAUUCUUCUGUACCCCCUUCCUGAUGCAGGAUUCUGAGGCUGUGCGCUUACACUCUGUCCAGGCAGUGCCAUGCAUGCAUGCAAGCAAUAACUGAGCACUGCUGUCUCCUGUUUAAUGUACCUCAUACCUCCACACCAGGUCAGGGGAAGACCCCUAUUGAAAACGAGGUGCUUGAUGACUGCAGAGUGUGAGGAUCUUGCUGUCAUGUCACAGCUGGGCAUGAUGCCUUCAUCAAGGUAUUAGAAAAGGCUCAAGGAAAACAGCUACAUCCAUUCUACUGCCUAAGACACUUCCCGCAGCUACCGGCUUGCCUUAGAGUUACCAAUCCAAGUGCUGACCCUGCCUGACCCUACUUAUCUUGUAAAAGCUGACAAGAUCACAGCCUGAAGCAGUAUAGCCACAGGCUCAAUACUGGCUACCAAAAUGUCUGUUUAGUGUUUUCAGGAAACACUGCUCUUAAGAUUUACAAUACCAGCUGCUAGAAAUAUAGACAACACCAAAACACAGCCCUGACCCCUGAAUGUUCAGCCUCACUUAGACAGAAAUUUGUGCCUCUCAAGGGGCCAACACUGAGUUGCCACAAAAUAGUUAUUCCCUACCUUCAGGUGAGCUGGAAUUGAAGCAUUUUAUGAAUGCAGAUACUGGGGAGAAAUAUUUGAAGAUACAGUCUUGAGUUCAGAAUUCAUUGUUAGCUCCUUUCAUCUGUUGCAUUACUACUUUUACACUAGAAAGAGCUCUGCCAUUUUUGUGUAAUGCCUUUUAUUUAUUUAUUUAUUGGUUUAAUAUAGAAAAUUGUCUUAAUUCUUCCAUGACCAAAGCAAUUUUUCAUCAGAAGUUAUUUUAGGAUGAACUGUAAGUUUCUUCCCUACCAAAUAUUUUAACUCUUCUGUAUGAAAACAAACACAUAUUUGUUUUCCCGAUUAUCUUAAAUGAUAAACACAGAUUUAAAUACACAAGAAAUAUUAAGGGACAAAUCUGGUUUAGCUGUUUGUACAUUCAUACACAGUAUAAAUUCAUAGCUCUUGCAGGGUGGGGUUUUGUUGUUGUUGGGCUUUGUUUUUGUUUUUUUAAGAAAACCAAAGACAUGGAAAAGACACUGAGGUCUUAUUGCUCCUAUCGGAAACUUUUGCUGACUACAGCAAGAGUUGGAUUGGGCCCAGAGAAACCAAAUACACACAAGGAACAAUGAGUUGGCCAUACAAGCAAGGAAAAUCACAGAUAACGGAUGCACACAAAUUAGCAAUGUACCUUUUAGGUCAUCCAGUACAGCUUGCUGACACCGUGAGGCAUAUGGCAUAUUUUUGGUUGUUUUCUGUGCCUAGAUUAAAUGUCCUAAGUGAGGCCAUGUCCCCAGGGAGAGAUUGUGCUGUCUAGUGUAUCUUGUUAGAAGUGUCUUUUUUUUUUUUUUUUUUUUUUUCCCCUUUCUCCACAUCCUAGUUAUGCUCCUUUGCAACCCCCCUUAUUUUCCUUCAUGGAUGCUAUUUACCUCCAGUGUCUUUAGAUUACAAUGAUGUUGCAUUUAGUUAACAUUAAGUCAGCCCACACAUAUUUAGCUCAUUUAAUUUUCUCUGAUAAAUCACUCCUUUCAGUCCCCUGGUUAUUCUUCAUCUCCUCUUGUCCCAUUCCUGCCUGUCAAUAUCUUUUGUGGUUAUGAGAUUUUAAAGAUGUGAUGUAUUUCUCUUAACUAAUGACAGACCCGGUAUAGAUCUGAGCACCCUCAAUCUCUUCUCGAUGAAAAACACUCCUGAUGCGUCCAGGGGAAACAUUGUUUUUUUGAGCAGACAUACAGAUUAAAGAGGAAAAAAACAGUGCCAUUCAGACACCUGCCUCUGGCCUUGAUGUACUUAAGUGCAGAAACCGGGCCAAAAAAGACUCAAAAAUAAAUCAAGUCAGGAUGUGUACUAACUUUCUGUGGGUACCACCUCACCUUUGAAAAGGAAUCUUGUGUUACUGUCAGCAGAACCAGCCAUACCUUCAGUGCUUCCUCCUAGAGAGAUAUUGAUUGUGGUCUACUGCAUGCUCUCACACAGUCUCAGUCCACUUCACCAUCUUUCUGCUAUCUCAUGAAGUCACAUACCAACCAGCUGUUGUCUAAAAUGGUGGUGAAGAUAAUGCAAGGAUUUUACUUUUAGCUGAUGUUAAGCUGAAAAAUAAAAUGCAUUCCAGCUUGGUUCAUA